This 549-nucleotide ribosomal RNA is filed under the name bacterium amp-w-89. RNAcentral's name for it is "bacterial SSU rRNA". It matches the Rfam family "Bacterial small subunit ribosomal RNA", at positions 52 to 599 of the family's 1533-position model. The record is from RNAcentral.
CACAUGCAGUCGAACGGUAACAGGUCUUCGGAUGCUGACGAGUGGCGAACGGGUGAGUAAUACAUCGGAACGUGCCCGAUCGUGGGGGAUAACGAAGCGAAAGCUUUGCUAAUACCGCAUAAGAUCUACGGAUGAAAGCAGGGGACCGCAAGGCCUUGCGCGAACGGAGCGGCCGAUGGCAGAUUAGGUAGUUGGUGGGAUAAAAGCUUACCAAGCCGACGAUCUGUAGCUGGUCUGAGAGGACGACCAGCCACACUGGGACUGAGACACGGCCCAGACUCCUACGGGAGGCAGCAGUGGGGAAUUUUGGACAAUGGGCGAAAGCCUGAUCCAGCCAUGCCGCGUGCAGGAUGAAGGCCUUCGGGUUGUAAACUGCUUUUGUACGGAACGAAAAGACUCUGGUUAAUACCUGGGGUCCAUGACGGUACCGUAAGAAUAAGCACCGGCUAACUACGUGCCAGCAGCCGCGGUAAUACGUAGGGUGCAAGCGUUAAUCGGAAUUACUGGGCGUAAAGCGUGCGCAGGCGGUUAUAUAAGACAGAUGUGAAU